GGCUCAGCGAUCGGGUCUUCCUUAACUGGUUGCACUCGAGCCGCUUUGCCUUAUCUUCUAGACACACGUCUCAGCAGACGUGCGGCUCUAGGACUUUUACUGUGAAUAAAUUAGAGUGUUCAAAGCAGGCAAUCGCUUGAAUACGUUAGCAUGGAAUAAUAAAAUAGGACUUUGGUUUUAUUUUGUUGGUUUUAAGGACCAAGGUA
RNAcentral lists this ribosomal RNA (206 nucleotides) under uncultured fungus. RNAcentral describes it as "partial small subunit ribosomal RNA". The stretch from base 87 to 206 matches the Rfam family "Eukaryotic small subunit ribosomal RNA", at positions 742 to 864 of the family's 1831-position model. The record is from RNAcentral. Lineage: Eukaryota; Fungi.